GCAGUUUUUAAUUUGUGAACGUGUAAGUCAACUUGAUUUAGCUGAACAUAGCAGAGUCAUCAAUCAAACUGAUUGAUGACUAAGGGUCCGCAGGGUAACACAUCAUCAUAGUUGUUUCCAUGGUGAUGAAUUAUGAUGUCACAAACUCAUCAAGACUGUGACUCAGUGAACCAUCUAGACAGAGGAUGAAAUGCAGUAGUUCACCAACAUGUUAUGUUUCUAUGAACAACCAGAUGCAAACGUCCUGGCAUUCAUCCUGCCUGCUUGCUGUUUGUACCAUCUCCGUGGUAGCAACCAUCCAAGCUGCUGGAAGCACAGACUGAGCUCUAUGAGUCAAUUAUUUUAUAUACCUGGGAACGUGCUAGCCUUCCUGUCACUCUUUGAUGUCACUAUGUAGACAGUUUGCAGCCUAGGCAACAUGCCCCUAAAGCACUGGAAAUGGUUGGCCCUGAAGUGCUCCUAAGGUAACCGCAAGAUGAGGCAAAACAGGAUUGAGAUGAAAACCAAGCUCACCCACAUCCUACGUCAAUUAGCUAUUUUUUUUUCUGUGUAAACAAUGGGAGGGAGGUGGAUUGUAGCUUUUAUGGUAGAGGUUCCUCGGCACCUCCUGACGCCCCCAGGGGUCCCCCCUGCCACUGCCCUCAGCCCAAAUAUAAGCUGACAACAAAAUGUUUCUUCAAAGUGCUCAUUGUUUACUCUAUUCUGGCUUCUUCUUAAAGGUCAUCAUCAUGUUGAAUUAUCUUGAGAAAAUCCUCUGAAGUGUAUGUGUGUGUGUGUGUUUAGGAAGGAUGUGAGGAGGAUUGGGAG
This 807-nucleotide long non-coding RNA is filed under the name Homo sapiens (human). Its description in RNAcentral is "HSALNT0346057". Lineage: Eukaryota; Metazoa; Chordata; Mammalia; Primates; Hominidae. The record is from RNAcentral.